AUUGAACGCUGGCGGCAGGCCUAACACAUGCAAGUCGAACGGUAACAGGAAGCAGCUUGCUGCUUUGCUGACGAGUGGCGGACGGGUGAGUAAUGUCUGGGAAACUGCCUGAUGGAGGGGGAUAACUACUGGAAACGGUAGCUAAUACCGCAUAACGUCGCAAGACCAAAGGGGGGGACCUUCGGGCCUCUUGCCAUCGGAUGUGCCCAGAUGGGAUUAGCUAGUAGGUGGGGUAACGGCUCACCUAGGCGACGAUCCCUAGCUGGUCUGAGAGGAUGACCAGCCACACUGGAACUGAGACACGGUCCAGACUCCUACGGGAGGCAGCAGUAGGGAAUAUUGCACAAUGGGCGCAAGCCUGAUGCAGCCAUGCCGCGUGUAUGAAGAAGGCCUUCGGGUUGUAAAGUACUUUCAGCGGGGAGGAAGGGAGUAAAGUUAAUACCUUUGCUCAUUGACGUUACCCGCAGAAGAAGCACCGGCUAACUCCGUG
Molecule: ribosomal RNA, 490 nt
Filed under: uncultured bacterium
Lineage: Bacteria
Description: partial 16S ribosomal RNA
Rfam family: Bacterial small subunit ribosomal RNA
Source: RNAcentral